GACGAACGCUGGCGGCGUGCCUAAUACAUGCAAGUAGAACGCUGAAGGAGGACCUUGCUUCUCUGGAUGAGUUGCGAACGGGUGAGUAACGCGUAGGUAACCUGCCUGUUAGCGGGGGAUAACUAUUGGAAACGAUAGCUAAUACCGCAUAAUAGUAGAUGUUGCAUGACAUUUGCUUAAAAGGUGCAAUUGCAUCGCUACCAGAUGCACCUGCGUUGUAUUAGCUAGUUGGUGGGGUAACGGCUCACCAAGGCGGGGAUACAUCGCCGACAUGAGAGGGGGGGUGGCCACACUGGGAGGGAGACACGCCCCAGAGGCCUACGGGAGGGAGCAGGAGGGAAACGGGGGGAAGGGGUGGAAGUCAGAGCGAGCAACGCCGCGUGAGUGAAGAAGGUUUUCGGAUGGUAAAGCACUGUUGUAAGAGAAGAGAGAGUGUGAGCGUGGAAAGAUCACACUGUGACGGUAACUUACAAGAAAGGAACGGCUAACUACGUG
This 495-nucleotide ribosomal RNA is filed under the name uncultured bacterium. Its description in RNAcentral is "partial 16S ribosomal RNA". It matches the Rfam family "Bacterial small subunit ribosomal RNA", at positions 28 to 507 of the family's 1533-position model. The record is from RNAcentral.